AGCAGUCGCCGCGGGAAUACGUAGGUGGCAAGCGUUGUCCGGAAUUAUUGGGCGUAAAGGGCUCGCAGGCGGUUUCUUAAGUCUGAUGUGAAAGCCCCCGGCUCAACCGGGGAGGGUCAUUGGAAACUGGGAAACUUGAGUGCAGAAGAGGAGAGUGGAAUUCCACGUGUAGCGGUGAAAUGCGUAGAGAUGUGGAGGAACACCAGUGGCGAAGGCGACCCUCUGGUCUGUAACUGACGCUGAGGAGCGAAAGCGUGGGGAGCGAACAGGAUUAGAUACCCCCGUAGUCCCUGUCUCUUAUAC
RNAcentral lists this ribosomal RNA (303 nucleotides) under uncultured bacterium. RNAcentral's name for it is "partial 16S ribosomal RNA". It matches the Rfam family "Bacterial small subunit ribosomal RNA", at positions 507 to 807 of the family's 1533-position model. The record is from RNAcentral.